GUGACAGAGAAGUAUAUGUACAAUGUAACUGAUACUGACUCCCUGAAGCAUCCUGUGCGGAAUUUGCAGUCAUCGACAUUUGGUGAUAAUGAUUUUGAAAUAGAAUGAUUGGAUGCAACUGCUACAAAGGUUAAGUUGCACAAUGAAAAAUAUUUAGUGGACCACUCAACAAUCACCGACACAAAUGAAUCAUCUUCUGAGCCAUGCAAACUGGGAUUGAGCAGUUUAGCCAAAAAACUCAAACGGUCAUUUCUGGCCAAGCAGCUAGGACACAUCCAAUAUCGCCGAUUGUGUUGCCCACUUCGUGUUCAACUUAUUCAUCCUUACUCACUACCCAGGCAUCAGUUCGGAGCGAGUACCUGCCAAGUCGUACACUCGAGUAUGAAUUCGAAGCUGAACAACAUUUAAGUGAGGAAAAGUUUCGAUAUGUUAGCUUCAACAAAAAGCUCAUGAAAGUGCAUUCAAUGCGUUACUUAGGUAUUUUAGAAAAUAGCUUGUAUGUGUUGGAUAUUUUUGGUUUAAGUGACUCGCGGAUUUCUCAAAUUUUCAGUGAUGGUGUUCCAAAAAUAGCUCGAGAAAUGGAAGAGCUUGUGUUUUAGCCUAAAUCAGAAGAUAUUAAAAAAAUUACCGGUGGCAUUCCUUCGUAAAUACAGCAGCGUUCAUAGCAUUACUGAUUGUUUUGAAAUCCAGGUGCAAAAAUCUUCAAACCCGAUAGUUCAAUCGGUUCCGUAUUCUCAGUACAAGUCGUGUAACACAAUCAAAUAUCUUGUUUCGUGUACACCAUGUGGAUUGGUAAACUUUAUCUCGAAAGGAUUCCAUGGGCAAGCGAGUGAUCAGAAAAUCGUAAACAAAUCAGAAUAUUUGAGACAUUCGAAAGGGUAUGAAAGUGU
Long non-coding RNA from Topomyia yanbarensis, 890 nucleotides. RefSeq lists it as uncharacterized. NCBI's taxonomy places the organism in Eukaryota, Metazoa, Arthropoda, Insecta, Diptera, Culicidae. The record is from RefSeq and is a predicted model, not a curated record. The transcript has 3 exons.